CAGUAGCCACGGGAAUACGUAGGGCGCAAGCGUUAUCCGGAAUUAUUGGGCGUAAAGAACUCGUAGGCGGUUUGUCGCGUCUGCCGUGAAAGUCCGGGGCUCAACCCCGGAUCUGCCGUGGGUACGGGCAGACUAGAGUGAUGUAGGGGAGACUGGAAUUCCUGGUGUAGCGGUGAAAUGCGCAGAUAUCAGGAGGAACACCGAUGGCGAAGGCAGGUCUCUGGGCAUUAACUGACGCUGAGGAGCGAAAGCAUGGGGAGCGAACAGGAUUAGAUACCCCGGUAGUCCCUGUCUCUUAUAC
Molecule: ribosomal RNA, 301 nt
Filed under: uncultured bacterium
Lineage: Bacteria
Description: partial 16S ribosomal RNA
Rfam family: Bacterial small subunit ribosomal RNA
Source: RNAcentral